UGUUUGUGCUAAGUGUUGUUGAGUGUUUGUUUGUGUUUAGCGUUGUUGAUAUGUCUAGCAGGGACAGAGAUCCUCUUAUUCUUGGCCGCGUUGUUGGUGAUGUUCUUGACAAUUUUACAAGAACAAUUCCUAUGAGGAUUACCUAUUUAAACAAGGAUGUUAAUAAUGGCCGUGAGCUCAAACCUUCUGAAGUUCUGAACCAGCCUAGGGUUGAAAUUGGUGGUGAUGAUCUUAGGACAUUUUAUACUUUGGUAAUAAUUAAUAAGCCUUUGCUUUUUCCUUUUGCUUCUGCUGCUUCUGCUUCUACUUGUGGCUACUGCUUUCUAGGUCUUUUAUACGGUGGGCAUUUGCUGCCACUGUUUCAGGUAAUGGUUGAUCCUGAUGCACCGAGCCCAAGUGACCCCAGCCUUAGGGAGUAUUUGCAUUGGUAAGUGCUCUUUUCUAGAUCUCAAAAACACACACAUUAAAACAUACAUAUACUAUUAUUAUUAUUAUUAUUAACAAGGAAGAAAAUUUUCUAAUUCUCAUGAGAGUAUUAACUUAAUGUUCCGUUGAUCUUGAAUGAUUGUUUUAUUUUAAUUUGUUCCUUUCUUUCUUUCUUUCUUUCUUUUUGUCUCUUAAUUCACUGUGCCAUUGAUCACCUUGGAAUGACAUAAUAUUUUUAAGAGACUUAGCAUGCAGUUGAGGCAACACUAAAAAUCACUUUCGAUUUUCUCUCACUAUGAGUAAUCGGAAGCCAUAGCUAUAUAUCCCAUUUUGCUUCAUAUGUGAGCAGAUCAUGAAAGCGACAUAUUUGUUGGCUGUUUAUUUGUGAUUCAUUCAUUUAUAUAAUUUCAUCUUUUCAUUGACUGUUCGAUUGCAUGCAACUUUCAUCAAGAAACAACAAGUCAAGAAGGACCAAAUUAAACAACCUAAGUAUCUUUAUAUGUCAUACGAUUCUGGGAUAACAUUAUGGGGUCCUACACACAUGUAUCUAAUCAAUUAUAUUGGUAUAUAAUUUCUCAUCCUUUCUUCGCUCCCCCCCAACAACGAAAUUUUAUUAAAUAAAAAAAUACGACAUUUAGAAGGAACCUAAUUAAGCUUUACCUCAAAAAAAAAAAGAAAGGAAAAAACGCUAAAAAACAUCACGAACUUAUCAUCUUUUUUCUAUUGUUUUUUAAUAAUAAAUUUAUUUUAUAUCUACAUGGCGGUGAAUCCAUCAUCAAUUUUGUUCUCUUAUUUCCCAUAAAUUCCACCUCCCUCAUUUAUGCUUACCUCUGGUUUUCUUGAUUGUGAUGAUUACCUGCUGUACGGCCAAGGCGGAUGUACGGUACAGCAGAAAAGCUUAAUUUUUUUGCAAGAAUAUUGUUAGAACUUCACUUCCUUUUCUUUGGUUAUAGGAAGUAACUGAUCUUCAAGAGAUGUCCAGAGAUGAAAGGCUGUUUCCAUGCCUAUAUUGGAGCUCAACAAUUCUUCUGUCAUAAGUCCUAACAACCAAGACGUAAGCAAACUGUCGUUGCUUUCCCAUGAGAUCAAUUCGGGAUUUUCAGCAAUUUCUCCAUCUUUCUGUAAAAUUUUCUCUUGUGGCUUUUCAGACAAAAGAAUAUGGUGGGAUAAUCCGAGGCUUCGAAUGAGGGGUAGGAUUUGAGAUCGCCACAGAAGAAAAUUUGUAGAGUUAAGUCUCACGGAGACAAGGCUGGAACAUUGGUGGAAAGGCUUGGCUGUUUCGGGUUGGCUCUUUAGGAAGAGAUGACGAAGAAGAAGAGGAGGUUGCACCAGGAGCCAUAACGUGCUCUGAUACCAUGAAAAGGAAUAUUAUGCUGACAAUUUUUUUCUUGAUGUGUAUAAAAACGAGAGAGCUACAAACUUAUAUACAAGUAUCAAAGUCAGCCAAAUCUUUUAGUGUAAAGACUAGACAGGCUGUCUUAUGUAUGUCUAGAUAUCAUUUGUGCAUAAGGAAUAUUAAUAUUAUCAAGUGAUACUAGCUUAGAAUAAAGAUUGUGUCUAGCAUACAGGGGUCAUUGAUGCCAAAUCUUGGAGAUGCUCAUCUUUAUUGUGAUUUUGUCGAGAUAUUUGCCGCUAGCUAAUAAUAUUCGGUGAGCUGUAGUUACUGAUUGUAUGGUUUAUCACAUAUAAAUACAAUAAAUUUCUGUUGUUUGUUUCAAUCGGAAUACAGAAAGAUAAACAGGUCCACUUCACUUUAUGUUUGAGUCAUCAACAUUCGAUCCAGCGAGGAAUCAAAGGUAGGAAACUUACAAGCAAGAAAAGAACUAAUCAAUAUAAAGUGAGAUUCUUUCUAUGAGUGGUGCUAAAAAUAAAAGCGGCACCACAGAAAAGUUAUAUAAAUAGCUUCACACAACUCGUAAUUCAUCAUCCAUCCUACCAACAAAAUUUCAUCACUUGAAUAGUCUUACAACUACUUUUGUAGGCUGUGUGUGCGUGUAUUUGUUUGUGCUAAGUGUUGUUGAGUGUUUGUUUGUGUUUAGCGUUGUUGAUAUGUCUAGCAGGGACAGAGAUCCUCUUAUUCUUGGCCGCGUUGUUGGUGAUGUUCUUGACAAUUUUACAAGAACAAUUCCUAUGAGGAUUACCUAUUUAAACAAGGAUGUUAAUAAUGGCCGUGAGCUCAAACCUUCUGAAGUUCUGAACCAGCCUAGGGUUGAAAUUGGUGGUGAUGAUCUUAGGACAUUUUAUACUUUGGUAAUAAUUAAAUAAGCCUUUGCUUUUGCCUUUUGCUUCUGCUUCUGCUUUUGCUUCUACUUGUGCUACUGCUUUCUAGGUCUUUUAUACGGUGAGCAUUUGCUGCCACUGUUUCAGGUAAUGGUUGAUCCUGAUGCACCAAGCCCAAGUGACCCCAGCCUUAGGGAGUAUUUGCAUUGGUAAGUGCUCUUUUCUAGAUCUCAAAAACACACACAUU
Molecule: long non-coding RNA, 2893 nt
Filed under: Citrus sinensis (sweet orange)
Lineage: Eukaryota; Viridiplantae; Streptophyta; Magnoliopsida; Sapindales; Rutaceae
Description: long non-coding RNA (CSIN_LNC002538)
Source: RNAcentral